CCAUCCUGUUAUAUUAUCUGGGAGUGGUUUUUCCAAGCCAAGGUAUCUUGGAUAGGCCAUAGAGGUGGGGCCCUUGGUUAAGAGGGCACAGCUGGGGCUCAGAAGCACCAAACACAUCCCACUGCGUCUCUGCAGUGUGUAAACAGGUGCGCCACCACCCGGCCCCAGUAGCUAACAUUUCAAGCCCUUUAUGUGCCAAACUCCAUGGCAGCUUCUGUAAGUUAAGGCUUCACGUGUUAUACACACACAGGUCCACAAUUGAUUUAGGAGUCUUCUGUUUCAAGAAAUAGGUAUACACCUUAUUAAAAAAGAACAGGAUUUCUGAGCUUCAAUGGCUGAGCUGGAAGGAGUGUAAGGGUGGGAUUUCAUCUCUCAAAGACUUGCAAAAGGAAGCCAAGCACGAUAUGAGUCUUCAGUUUUUCUCUAGUUUCUGUUCCUUUUUUGCAUGCUACAUCUCCUCACUGUAUUCAUUCAGAAGUAUGACUCCAGAGGAAGAAAAGGCCAUUCCCCACAAGUUCAGGUUAAAAAGGUUUAACGAGAGGAGUCAACUUUUGGUCAAAAUGGUGGCAGCCAAGCAGUGGCUACUGGACCGCUGCCUAGACUGUCCCCUUGCUCCAGUCGUCACUGAGAACCACGCGAUGGGGAGACGGCUCGCCAGCUGGCACAGAACAACAACUUGAAGAAAGCCCUAAUGUUAGCAGAGUUGUUCAAUGCUCCUUAUGAAGACUGCAGAGCUGUGGUCCUAGGCCUGCUCACUGUAUGGGGGAGAGCUGUGGAGGAGGCCGGCAACACACUCAGGGAAUAAUGAGCAAAGAAUAACUUACGGGGAGCAGGCGGGGCACACUUGGCCAAGCACACAUGCUACAGUGCACACGACCUGGGUUCAAGCCCCUGGUCCUCACCUGCGGGAGGGAAGCUUCACCAGUGGGGAGGCAGGGCUGCAGGUGUCUCUCUGUCUCUCUCCUCUAUCUCUCUCUGCCCUAUCAAUUUCUCUCUGUCUCUAUCCAACAAUAAACAAGAAUAUGUAUAUAGAAAAGAAACACUUGAGGAAAGGAAUCAGUGAUGGGGUAGCGCAGUGGUGCACCCAUUUCAGCACACCCAGUAUGGAGUGCAAGGACACACCCAGGGGCUGGGCUGGAGCCUCUGCUCUCCACCUGCAGGGAGAGCGCUUCACAAGCAGUGAAGUUGAAGAAGGCCUGCUGUCUGUUUGUCUUUCUGUCUCUCUCAUCUCCCCCUCCUUUCUCAAUUUCUCUCUGUCCUAGCCAAUAAAGUAGGGGGAAAUGUUGGUCUGCUUCUAAAUUCUGCUUCUAAGACCUUCUGUUUUGAUCAUCACAUUAGGUUCAUUGUAUUACUUACGAUGUGGUCUAUUUACAUGAUCACUGUUGUACCUGGGUCCCGCCCUGCCUGCAGGGCGUUGGUUUAAUCCCCACUGGUUAGAUGGAAGCUUGCUAUGUUCUGUUCACACUCUUUUUUUGCUCCGCCCCCUCUCCUAGUCAUUUCCUUUCCCUUGCCACUUCCGAUUAAUAUCUGAUUAAUAAACGAGAUACUGCUUCCCAGCUCA
Molecule: long non-coding RNA, 1561 nt
Organism: Erinaceus europaeus (western European hedgehog)
Lineage: Eukaryota; Metazoa; Chordata; Mammalia; Eulipotyphla; Erinaceidae
Exons: 2
Source: RefSeq, a predicted model, not a curated record